UCAUUCGGAUUCGCCAUCAUACGUCCAACCCUGCAUUUGAUAUGCAUAUAUAUGCAUCACGAGCCACGUUUGGGCUGUAUGAUGGCGAUACCGAUUGG
This 98-nucleotide microRNA precursor is filed under the name Triticum aestivum (bread wheat). Its description in RNAcentral is "MIR9666 microRNA precursor family". It matches the Rfam family "MIR9666 microRNA precursor family". Lineage: Eukaryota; Viridiplantae; Streptophyta; Magnoliopsida; Poales; Poaceae. The record is from Rfam by way of RNAcentral. RNAcentral also lists the same sequence under 1 other name.